UUGGGCAUAGCUAAGGGGUAAAGCACUUGCCUAGCAUGCAUGAGGCCCUGGAUUCAAUCCCUAGUACCAAAA
RNAcentral lists this transfer RNA (72 nucleotides) under Marmota monax (woodchuck). It matches the Rfam family "tRNA". Rfam says of the family: Transfer RNA (tRNA) molecules are approximately 80 nucleotides in length. Their secondary structure includes four short double-helical elements and three loops (D, anti-codon, and T loops). The record is from Rfam by way of RNAcentral. Lineage: Eukaryota; Metazoa; Chordata; Mammalia; Rodentia; Sciuridae.